Ceratotherium simum simum (southern white rhinoceros) is the source of this 84-nucleotide non-coding RNA. Lineage: Eukaryota; Metazoa; Chordata; Mammalia; Perissodactyla; Rhinocerotidae. The record is from RefSeq and is a predicted model, not a curated record.
ACCCCUGAAAGAAAGAAAACAAAUGAGGUGAGCUCUAUGAUCACCCUGGCUUUUUGCCUAGGGUACUUUCCAGAAGCUAUUGGG